RNAcentral lists this ribosomal RNA (492 nucleotides) under uncultured bacterium. Its description in RNAcentral is "partial 16S ribosomal RNA". It matches the Rfam family "Bacterial small subunit ribosomal RNA", at positions 29 to 507 of the family's 1533-position model. The record is from RNAcentral.
AGUGAACGCUGGCGGUAGGCCUAACACAUGCAAGUCGAACGGCAGCACAGUAAGAGCUUGCUCUUACGGGUAGCGAGUGGCGGACGGGUGAGGAAUACAUCGGAAUCUACUUUUUCGUGGGGGAUAACGUAGGGAAACUUACGCUAAUACCGCAUACGACCUACGGGUGAAAGCAGGGGAUCUUCGGACCUUGCGCGAUUGAAUGAGCCGAUGUCGGAUUAGCUAGUUGGCGGGGUAAAGGCCCACCAAGGCGACGAUCCGUAGCUGGUCUGAGAGGAUGUUCAGCCACACUGGAACUGAGACACGGUCCAGACUCCUACGGGAGGCAGCAGUGGGGAAUAUUGGACAAAGGGCGCAAGCCUGAUCCAGCCAUACCGCGUGGGUGAAGAAGGCCUUCGGGUUGUAAAGCCCUUUUGUUGGGAAAGAAAAGCAGCAGGUUAAUACCCCGCUGUUCUGACGGUACCCAAAGAAUAAGCACCGGCUAACUUCGUG